Camelus ferus (Wild Bactrian camel) is the source of this 73-nucleotide transfer RNA. It matches the Rfam family "tRNA". Rfam says of the family: Transfer RNA (tRNA) molecules are approximately 80 nucleotides in length. The record is from Rfam. Lineage: Eukaryota; Metazoa; Chordata; Mammalia; Artiodactyla; Camelidae.
GAGGGUGUGGCUCAAAUGGGAGAGCACAUGCUUAGCACGCACGGGGUCCUGGGUUCAAUCCCCAGCACCCCCU